This 253-nucleotide ribosomal RNA is filed under the name uncultured bacterium. Its description in RNAcentral is "partial 16S ribosomal RNA". It matches the Rfam family "Bacterial small subunit ribosomal RNA", at positions 524 to 776 of the family's 1533-position model. The record is from RNAcentral.
GACGUAGGGGGCGAGCGUUGUUCGGAUUUACUGGGCGUAAAGCGCGCGUAGGUGGCUAGAUAAGUUGGGUGUGAAAGUUUUUGGUUUAAUCGAGGUUUUGCAUCCAAAAUUGUUUGGCUCGAGUCUAGGAGAGGAGAGCGGAAUUCCCAGUGUAGCGGUGAAAUGCGUAGAUAUUGGGAGGAACACCCGUGGCGAAGGCGGCUCUCUGGACUAGUACUGACGCUGAGGCGCGAAAGCUAGGGGAGCGAACGGG